UGUGUUUGUAAGUGUUUAAAGGGCGCAUGGUGGAUGCCUUGGCAUCGAGAGCCGAUGAAGGACGUGGGAGA
Molecule: ribosomal RNA, 71 nt
Filed under: Mycobacterium terrae
Lineage: Bacteria; Bacillati; Actinomycetota; Actinomycetes; Mycobacteriales; Mycobacteriaceae
Description: Mycolicibacter terrae partial 23S ribosomal RNA
Source: RNAcentral